This 105-nucleotide small RNA is filed under the name Archaeoglobus fulgidus. Lineage: Archaea; Methanobacteriati; Methanobacteriota; Archaeoglobi; Archaeoglobales; Archaeoglobaceae. The record is from RNAcentral.
GGGAGGCAGAAUUUUGACAUUCACUCGUACCUCAAGGCCUCGAUAGGCUCUAAGCGAGAUGCCUUCCACGCAGGGUAGAGGCCGCUUAGCACAGAAACCAUAACU